Molecule: ribosomal RNA, 431 nt
Filed under: uncultured bacterium
Lineage: Bacteria
Description: partial 16S ribosomal RNA
Rfam family: Bacterial small subunit ribosomal RNA
Source: RNAcentral
AACGAACGCUGGCGGCAUGCCUAACACAUGCCAGUCGAACGAGACCUUCGGGUCUAGUGGCGCACGGGUGCGUAACGCGUGGGAACCUGCCCUUAGGUUCGGAAUAACUCCCCGAAAGGGGUGCUAAUACCGGAUAAUGUCUUCGGACCAAAGAUUUAUCGCCUUUGGAUGGGCCCGCGUUGGAUUAGCUAGUUGGUAGGGUAAAAGCCUACCAAGGCGACGAUCCAUAGCUGGUCUGAGAGGAUGAUCAGCCACACUGGGACUGAGACACGGCCCAGACUCCUACGGGAGGCAGCAGUGGGGAAUAUUGGACAAUGGGCGAAAGCCUGAUCCAGCAAUGCCGCGAGUGAUGAAGGCCUUAGGGUUGUAAAGCUCUUUUACCCGGGAUGAUAAUGACAGUACCGGGAGAAUAAGCUCCGGCUAACUCCGUG